UACGUAGGGGGCGAGCGUUACCCGGAUUCACUGGGCGUAAAGGGGGCGUAGGCGGCCGUGCAAGUCUGAUGUGAAAGCUCACGGCUCAACCGUGAGACUGCGCUGGAAACUACACGGCUUGAGGACGGUAGAGGGAGACGGAACUGCUGGUGUAGGGGUGAAAUCCGUAGAUAUCAGCAGGAACGCCGGUGGAGAAGUCGGUCUCCUGGGCCGUUCCUGACGCUGAGGCCCGAAAGCUAGGGGAGCAAACCGG
Molecule: ribosomal RNA, 253 nt
Filed under: uncultured microorganism
Description: partial 16S ribosomal RNA
Rfam family: Bacterial small subunit ribosomal RNA
Source: RNAcentral